AUGAUGUGCGGUUUCAGUACUACUAGCUGUGAGGAGGAGGAGGUUAGCCUUGAUGGCCAGGUGGUACCUCGGAAGGACACCUUUCGGUAUUUGGGGUCAAUGUUGCAGGAGGAUGGGGGUAUUGAUGAAGAUGUGAACCAUCGAAUCAAAGCCGGAUGGAUGAAGUGGCGCCAAGCUUCUGGCAUUCUCUGUGACAAGAGAGUGCCACAAAAGCUAAAAGGCAAGUUCUACAGGACGGCGGUUCGACCCGCAAUGUUGUAUGGCGCGGAGUGUUGGCCGACUAAAAGGCGACAUGUUCAACAGUUAGGUGUGGCGGAGAUGCGUAUGUUGAGAUGGAUGUGUGGCCACACGAGGAAGGAUCGAGUCCGGAAUGAUGAUAUAUGA
RNAcentral lists this ribosomal RNA (384 nucleotides) under Triticum aestivum (bread wheat). Its description in RNAcentral is "partial small subunit ribosomal RNA". The record is from RNAcentral. Lineage: Eukaryota; Viridiplantae; Streptophyta; Magnoliopsida; Poales; Poaceae.